UACAGAGGGUGCAAGCGUUAAUCGGAAUUACUGGGCGUAAAGCGUGCGUAGACGGUUAGAUAAGUCGGGUGUGAAAGCCCCGGGCUCAACCUGGGAAUUGCAUUCGAGACUGCUUAGCUAGGGUACGGAAGAGGGAAGCGGAAUUUCAGGUGUAGCGGUGAAAUGCGUAGAUAUCUGAAGGAACACCAGUGGCGAAAGCGGCUUCCUGGUCCAGUACCGACGUUCAGGCACGAAAGCGUGGGGAGCAAACAGG
RNAcentral lists this ribosomal RNA (253 nucleotides) under uncultured bacterium. RNAcentral's name for it is "partial 16S ribosomal RNA". It matches the Rfam family "Bacterial small subunit ribosomal RNA", at positions 524 to 776 of the family's 1533-position model. The record is from RNAcentral.